This 487-nucleotide ribosomal RNA is filed under the name uncultured bacterium. RNAcentral's name for it is "partial 16S ribosomal RNA". It matches the Rfam family "Bacterial small subunit ribosomal RNA", at positions 28 to 507 of the family's 1533-position model. The record is from RNAcentral.
GACGAACGCUGGCGGCGUGCUUAACACAUGCAAGUCGUACGAGGAACCGGCUCUUCGGUGCUGGUGAUUAGUGGCGAACGGGUGAGUCACACGUGGGUGACCUUCCCUGCACUCUGGGAUAAGCCCGGGACACUUGGUAUCAUACUGGCUACGACCCGUGGCGGCAUAGUCUGCUGGUGGGAAGCCCUCCGGGGUGGUGUGGGAUGGGCCCGCGGCCUAUUAGCUUGUUGGUGGGGUGAUGGAGUUCCAAGGCGACGACGUGUCGCCGGCGAGAGAGGGUGGCCGGUCACAGUGGAACUGAGACACCGCCCGGACUGAGACGCGAGGCAGCAGUGGGGGGGCGGGCGCAGUGGGGGAAAGCCCGAAACAGCGACGCCGCGGGAGGGAUGACGGCGUUCGGGUGGUGAACCUCUAUCGGCAGGGAACUAGCCUGGGGGGUUAAGACUGGGUGACGGUACCUGCGGAAGAAGCACCGGCUAACUACGUG